RNAcentral lists this ribosomal RNA (331 nucleotides) under uncultured bacterium. RNAcentral describes it as "bacterial SSU rRNA". It matches the Rfam family "Bacterial small subunit ribosomal RNA", at positions 568 to 898 of the family's 1533-position model. The record is from RNAcentral.
CACGUAGAUGGCUUUGUAAGUCGGAUGUGAAAUCCCCGGGCUCAACCUGGGAACCGCAUUCGAAACUGCAUUGCUCGAAUGUGGAAGAGGGAAGCGGAAUUCCAGGUGUAGCGGUGAAAUGCGUAGAUAUCUGGAGGAACAUCAGUGGCGAAGGCGGCUUCCUGGUCCAACAUUGACAUUCAGGUGCGAAAGCGUGGGGAGCAAACAGGAUUAGAUACCCUGGUAGUCCACGCCAUAAACGAUGAGAACUAGAUGUCGGGAGGGUUAGCCUUCCGGUGUCGCAGCUAACGCGUUAAGUUCUCCGCCUGGGGAGUACGGCCGCAAGGUUGAA